GCAUCAGUGGUUUAAUGGUAAAAUCCGUCGUUGCCAUAUUGAGUCGACGGGCUCCGUGUUCGAUUCACGGCUGAUGCA
Molecule: non-coding RNA, 78 nt
Organism: Aulographum hederae CBS 113979
Lineage: Eukaryota; Fungi; Ascomycota; Dothideomycetes; Aulographales; Aulographaceae
Source: the annotation of a GenBank genome assembly